RNAcentral lists this non-coding RNA (30 nucleotides) under Cricetulus griseus (Chinese hamster). The record is from RNAcentral. Lineage: Eukaryota; Metazoa; Chordata; Mammalia; Rodentia; Cricetidae.
ACGUUUCGUGGAACCCAGUCAGACGACGGG